CAAAUACAAAUCAAUAAGCCAUAGACAGCAGGUGUUAACACCUUAAUUUCCUGCCGAGGCUAAGAAAGUAAAAACUUAAAAUUAAGUAAAAGUUAAAAAUGUCUAAUUUUUAAUUUUUAAUCUCUAAUUUUUAAUUUUUAUUUCCUUGCCCCGGCUUGAAAGUCGGGGUUUUUGAUUGGCAGU
Molecule: regulatory RNA element, 183 nt
Rfam family: Ribosomal protein L10 leader
About the family: This family is a putative r-protein leader autoregulatory structure found in B. subtilis and other low-GC Gram-positive bacteria. It is located in the 5' untranslated regions of mRNAs encoding ribosomal proteins L10 and L12 (rplJ-rplL). A Rho-independent transcription terminator structure that is probably involved in regulation is included at the 3' end.
Source: Rfam